Molecule: ribosomal RNA, 398 nt
Filed under: uncultured bacterium
Lineage: Bacteria
Description: partial 16S ribosomal RNA
Rfam family: Bacterial small subunit ribosomal RNA
Source: RNAcentral
AUACGUAGGGUGCGAGCGUUGUCCGGAAUUACUGGGCGUAAAGAGCUCGUAGGUGGUUUGUCGCGUCGUCUGUGAAAUUCCGGGGCUUAACUCCGGGCGUGCAGGCGAUACGGGCAUAAUUUGAGUACUGUAGGGGAGACUGGAAUUCCUGGUGUAGCGGUGAAAUGCGCAGAUAUCAGGAGGAACACCGGUGGCGAAGGCGGGUCUCUGGGCAGUAACUGACGCUGAGGAGCGAAAGCAUGGGUAGCGAACAGGAUUAGAUCCCCUGGUAGUCCAUGCCGUAAACGGUGGGCGCUAGGUGUAGGGGUCUUCCACGACUUCUGUGCCGUAGCUAACGCAUUAAGCGCCCCGCCUGGGGAGUACGGCCGCAAGGCUAAAACUCAAAGGAAUUGGCGGGG